Molecule: long non-coding RNA, 3611 nt
Organism: Herpailurus yagouaroundi (jaguarundi)
Lineage: Eukaryota; Metazoa; Chordata; Mammalia; Carnivora; Felidae
Exons: 2
Source: RefSeq, a predicted model, not a curated record
UCUCUCUCAAAAGUAAAUAAACAUUAAAAAAUUAUUAAAAAAUAAACUGUGGCGCAAGGGUAAGAGAGGCAGCUAGUGAGAUGGGAGGGUAUGGAUCUCAAACUCACCCCACGUAUGUAGCUAAGGAAGGUGAACUGAGUCAUGAACCUUAUGGAGUGUCAGCGAAGUUCAAUCAGGGGAGUGACAUCAUGAGAUCUGCAUUUUAGGAAGCUCCUACUGGGAGCCCUGUUAAAGAUGAGUUGGAAGGGAGGCAGACACAGAGCAGAGAGCACUAUUUGAAAUUAUAGUAGGAACCCAGGUGAGACAAGAUGAAGGUCCAAAUUAAGGCAGUGCUUUAAUGAGGGAUGAGAGAAAAGCAGGCAGUCGGUGUUAGGCAGCAUCAUCUUCAGGAUUUAGAGACUGAUUAGGUGCAUGUGGAGGGUGAAUGGGCAGAAGGGGAGAAUCAAGGAUGAAUAAGAAGUUUCUAGCAUGGGUGGUUAGUGGGGACAUUCACUAAAUGAGGUAAUAUAAGGUCUGAUGUAGAAAUUAGUUCAAUUUUGAAUAAGUUGAGCUGGAAUUGAUGUGUGGAGUAUGUGUGAGUUAUCCAGAGAGUUCUACCCAAUAGACAUGGGGAUUUCCAAGAGAGAUCUUUGCCAGAGCUGUAGAUUAGUAGGCAUCAACUCAUAGCCAAUAAUGGUGUCCAACGACGCAUCCCUGAGAUACUAUUGAUCAGGGAAGUACAGAAGAGGAGACUGAAGGGGAAUGAAAGGAGUAGCCAAGAGGUAGGAGGAGAACCAGGGUUUGGUGGUAUCCUAGAAACCAAAAGCAGAGAGCACAGCAAAAGGGAAGGGAAAGCCAACAAACUCAACUAUUGUAAAGAGGUCAAUUAAGAUAAGAACGGGCAAGUGUCCAUGGGAUUUCACACUGCAGGGCAAUUGCAGAGAAGUAAUGAGAAAAGGCAGACCACAGUGAAAGAGUGGACACAUCAAAUAUAGAUUACACUUUCAAGAGCUUUGAUGUAAAGGUAAGAGAGAAGAUAAGUGGCAAGAGGUGUCAGUGAAGUUUUACUUUGUUCUGUUUUGGUUUGGAGCUGGUAGGGACUUGAGCACUUAAAAAAAUUCUAGAGGGGAAACAGGCCGCAGAGAGGAAGAUGAUGAAGCUAUACCACCUGCUGACUGCAGUGCCCCUCCAUGCCACCUUUGGUCAACACCUACUAAUCCUUCACCUCCCAACUUAUCUGCUACCUUCUCAGGGACUAACAUGCUACCAACUCUCCACUUCUCAGAUGGUUUUCUGCCACCUCCCUGUGGCAAUUUCAGGGUGGGUUAGUUUAGGACUACCUAAUAAAUCUGUGGAGCGCUGUGGCUCAAGUGGAGACAGAAAAGUUAAGACGCAUCUCCCUGGGGGAAUGGAAUGGACCUGGCAUUUGCUUCUCCAUCUGACUUCCUUACCUAUGACUAAGCCAAGGCAGGGGCUAGAGAUACCCUAGUCUUCCUACCUCACCCUCAGACCCCAGACAUAAAUGUCUUAUUCUAGAGAAUUCUGUGUAAUUAAUUAAUAGGCAAGAUUAUAAGGCUUUCUGGGGACUGGAUUACUUGUCAUCAUAUGUAUUUGUUACUCUUCCCCAGCUUCUAGGUGGGUAAGGAUAUAGUUAGAAAGUGACCCUUCAAAGGAGAUAUGUGCCCCUACCACACUGAAGUUUCUGGAGAGACCAUACAUUUUUCUAUGCUACCCCGGUGCCUCCCACAAAGUCUGGCACGUAGUACUCAAUAAAUGCUUCAUGAAAGAAUGAGCAAGCGAGUCUUCAGUUGGGAUGAAACAGGAUACUGUCAGGCACCAUUCAUUCUGGGAUGCGCUUGUAUUGGGUUCCCGAACCCUACUUUCAUUUCUUGGCGGGAGCCAACUCUCUCCCGUGGCCACACUUGGCAUGGUCCGUUGCUGAAUUUGGGUUGGGGUGGGGGCAGAAUUGGUAGCCCCCUCGCUCUCCGGUAUCUGUCCUCUGCUGAAGUCAGUACUUCUGAGGUAAUAUGGAAAAGGAAUGCUCCUCGUGGUGUAUUUGGCUGUGCGUGGGAGCAAGUUAUCAACCAAGCCUCGUGAUGAAGUGUUCUCAUUACACUUUUGGCUCUGUCUUGCAGACCUUGUACUUCAAGCAUCGGGCACUUACUCGGAUUGAUUCAAAAUGCCAAACCUUAAUGGUUUGGGAUGUCACUAAUUCUAAUCCAGAUAUGGGUGAGAGGCAGAUGGUGGGGACUGGUGAUUGUGGGAUCUAGAGCAAACCCUGCCCUCCCAGGAGAGGUAAUUUAGAAGCACUGGAGCUGACAGUUGCUAGCUGUUGGCCAACUCGGCACUGUGACGAGCGCCUGUGCUAUCCUUUGAUGGCAGAUUGCUCCACACAGAGCAGUCUCCUCCCCAUUAAGAUACCCAAGCCCUCUGGCAGUCCCUUCACACUGAAGGUUAGAGUCUCAGGGGAAAAAGAAAAAAAGCCAAGUACCAGAUUUCUUCUCACCUUCUGCGUGCUGGUGCAAAUCUCUUCAGUAUCACACCACCGUCCUAGCAACGGUGACACAGAGGUGGACUCUCACUUCCCAAUUCUCUGCCUCCCAUGAUAGGGAAGGGAAGUCAGAGUCUCCUAUGUAAUCAUUCGACUCUCAGUGGAACGUCACCCAGCCAUGGAGACGGAGGGACCAGAGACUUGAGGGAGAGACUGGGCCUGCGGAAGAACGUGGCCAAGCUUGUGGUGCCUGUGUGGGGAACCAGCUGGUCAAGCCCCGUUUUCUACCCGGUCUCUUGGGAGAGCAUUGCCUGUGAUUUUCCUACCAGCGUACUGAUAGUUAUUCCUUGCUGACUCAACAGAUGUGCUGAGCGCUCUGUUAAAUACUUCAUUAUCUUAUCACGACUCUAGAAAUUAUUAUCCCCAUUUGAUCGAUGAGGAAACUAAGCGUUAUUGAGGGCAAGUAACUGGUCCAAUGUCGAUAACAGUAUGUGGAAGAGCCAGAAUGUGAACCCGGCUCCCUUCGAGAUGGAAGAGGUACUCAGUCGCUACUGUGCAUACGAGUAGCGUGAAGUGUCAAGGCCAGUGCUCUUCUCCGCUGUUUUCUACAGCUCCGGUCUCUUUCAGCACUGCCAUUUCUACCUCCUUCCUACCCACAUGCCUUCAGAUAUAUUAAGAUAAGACCUGGGGAGAUUUAUUGUAGUCAAGCAGGGCCUUGGAGAGAGGGGUCAGAUAGGAUAUAGAGAGAGAGGGUGAUAUGAAUUAAAAGUCUAGCUUUAUCAUUGCCCACCAUUUCAAAAACCAAAACCAACUUGAGGACGAAGAAUGUACAUGAGACCAGAGAAAAUCCAGCUGCAAACUCCUUCAGCUCGUCAAGUCCUGUUCAGAGCUAGCCUCAUGUUCAGUGAUGGUCUUUACUCUGUGUAACAGGACGACAGCCACCCCUGGGUUCCUGUGUGUGCAAUGCACUCACGCAAUUGAUUCAUCCAUCGGUUUCCAUUGAUGACCUAUGGACAAAGUGCUGUACAAGAUAAAAAGACACAUAAGACAUGGGCUCUGUCCUUCAGGAGUUCACAAGGCAGGAACCGGACAAAUGUUUGAGGCUCUUUCUUGACUUCCAACAAAGAGACGUUCUUCAAGG